UACGUAGGGUGCAAGCGUUGUCCGGAAUCAUUGGGCGUAAAGAGCGCGUAGGCGGUCCGGUAAGUCGGUUGUGAAAACUGGGGGCUCAACCCUCAGAGGCCGACCGAUACUGUCGGGCUAGAGUCCGGAAGAGGCGAGUGGAAUUCCUGGUGUAGCGGUGAAAUGCGCAGAUAUCAGGAGGAACACCAAUGGCGAAGGCAGCUCGCUGGGACGGUACUGACGCUGAGGCGCGAAAGCGUGGGGAGCAAACAGG
This 253-nucleotide ribosomal RNA is filed under the name uncultured bacterium. RNAcentral's name for it is "partial 16S ribosomal RNA". It matches the Rfam family "Bacterial small subunit ribosomal RNA", at positions 524 to 776 of the family's 1533-position model. The record is from RNAcentral.